Molecule: ribosomal RNA, 406 nt
Filed under: uncultured organism
Description: bacterial SSU rRNA
Rfam family: Bacterial small subunit ribosomal RNA
Source: RNAcentral
UGGUUGAGGCAUGCAAGUCGCACGAGAAUGGAGGGGCAACCCUCCUAGUAAAGUGGCGGAAGGGUGAGUAAUGGGUAGAUAACGUACCCCGGGGAUGGGGAUAACGGGCCGAAAGGCCCGCUAAUACCCGAUGAGACCACGAGUGGGCGACCACUUGAGGUCAAAGGCGUGGGACCUUCGGGCCUCGCGCCCUGGGAUCGGUCUACUCCCUACCAGCUAGUUGGCGGGGUAACGGCCCACCAAGGCUUCGACGGGUACCCGGGCUGAGAGGCUGAACGGGCACAUCGGCACUGAGACACUGGCCGGACACCUACGGGUGGCUGCAGUUCGGAAUAUUCGGCAAUGGGCGAAAGCCUGACCGAGCGACGCCGCGUGGAGGAUGAAGGCCCUCUGGGUUGUAAACUCU